Molecule: ribosomal RNA, 766 nt
Filed under: bacterium enrichment culture clone D35
Lineage: Bacteria
Description: bacterial SSU rRNA
Rfam family: Bacterial small subunit ribosomal RNA
Source: RNAcentral
GAGUUUGAUCCUGGCUCAGGAUGAACGCUAGCGGCAGGCCUAAUACAUGCAAGUCGAGGGGUAGAGAGAGCUUGCUCUCUUGAGACCGGCGCACGGGUGCGUAACGCGUAUGCAACCUACCUUUAUCAGGGGGAUAGCCCGAAGAAAUUCGGAUUAAUACCGCAUAAAAUCACAGUAUCGCAUGGUACAAUGAUCAAACAUUUAUGGGAUAGAGAUGGGCAUGCGUGUCAUUAGUUAGUUGGCGGGGUAACGGCCCACCAAGACGACGAUGACUAGGGGAUCUGAGAGGAUGACCCCCCACACUGGUACUGAGACACGGACCAGACUCCUACGGGAGGCAGCAGUAAGGAAUAUUGGUCAAUGGACGCAAGUCUGAACCAGCCAUGCCGCGUGCAGGAAGACGGCCCUCUGGGUUGUAAACUGCUUUUAUUCGGGAAUAAACCUACUUUCGUGAAAGUAGCUGAAUGUACCGAAGGAAUAAGGAUCGGCUAACUCCGUGCCAGCAGCCGCGGUAAUACGGAGGAUCCGAGCGUUAUCCGGAUUUAUUGGGUUUAAAGGGUGCGUAGGCGGCCUAUUAAGUCAGGGGUGAAAGACGGUCGCUCAACGAUCGCAGUGCCUUUGAUACUGAUGGGCUUGAAUGUACUAGAGGUAGGCGGAAUGUGACAAGUAGCGGUGAAAUGCAUAGAUAUGUCACAGAACACCGAUUGCGAAGGCAGCUUACUAUGGUAUGAUUGACGCUGAUGCACGAAAGCGUGGGGAUCAAACA